RNAcentral lists this ribosomal RNA (497 nucleotides) under uncultured bacterium. RNAcentral's name for it is "partial 16S ribosomal RNA". It matches the Rfam family "Bacterial small subunit ribosomal RNA", at positions 28 to 507 of the family's 1533-position model. The record is from RNAcentral.
GAUGAACGCUGGCGGCGUGCCUAAUACAUGCAAGUCGAGCGAACAGACGAGGAGCUUGCUCCUCUGACGUUAGCGGCGGACGGGUGAGUAACACGUGGAUAACCUACCUAUAAGACUGGGAUAACUUCGGGAAACCGGAGCUAAUACCGGAUAAUAUAUUGAACCGCAUGGUUCAAUAGUGAAAGACGGUUUUGCGGUCACUUAUAGAUGGAUCCGCGCCGCAUUAGCUAGUUGGUAAGGUAAAGGCUUACCAAGGCAACGAUGCGUAGCCGACCUGAGAGGGUGAUCGGCCACACUGGAACUGAGACACGGUCCAGACUCCUACGGGAGGCAGCAGUAGGGAAUCUUCCGCAAUGGGCGAAAGCCUGACGGAGCAACGCCGCGUGAGUGAUGAAGGUCUUCGGAUCGUAAAACUCUGUUAUUAGGGAAGAACAAAUGUGUAAGUAACUAGGCACGUCUUGACGGUACCUAAUCAGAAAGCCACGGCUAACUACGUG